ACUCAUCAUAGGGUAUCUUCGUCUCCACUAACAGCUUCCAGAUCCACUGACUCUUCAUCAGAAUCACCUAGAAGUGGAAGGAAAAUCACCUCGGCAGUGUUUGAAGGAAGGAUACUGCAACUCUUUGAAGUACGCAUUUUUUGAGUGUAAAAGAUCAGUGUUGGAUAACAGGGCAAGAUUCAGAGGAAGAAAAGGAUAUUGAUGCAUUAUGUUGAAGCCAACAUGGAAAACAACAAAUAUUUUCCCUGGUCAUUAACACAAAGAAGCCAAAACAGGAAACAUACUUUUUACUACAUCUGUUUGGUUGGACCAGAUUUCCCCUCCGUGGAACACUGAAGAAAGUGGAUGAGUUGUUUUCGAAUAUGUAUAAAGUAAAUGAUUCUCUUGAUCCAAGUUAUUUUUAGAAGAAAAACCUAAUUGAACAGGUAUGGGUUGGGAGCAUAAUAAAUGUGUUUUGAGAAUUGUUCUAAAGCACAGAAAA
RNAcentral lists this long non-coding RNA (481 nucleotides) under Homo sapiens (human). Its description in RNAcentral is "non-protein coding lnc-MGAT4A-1:3". The record is from RNAcentral. Lineage: Eukaryota; Metazoa; Chordata; Mammalia; Primates; Hominidae.